This 23-nucleotide small nuclear RNA is filed under the name Arabidopsis thaliana (thale cress). RNAcentral describes it as "snRNA_15549". Lineage: Eukaryota; Viridiplantae; Streptophyta; Magnoliopsida; Brassicales; Brassicaceae. The record is from RNAcentral.
ACCGAGAUUUGUUGUUUUGAAUA